CCCAACUCACAUGAAAAAACCGUACCUACAAUCACCUUCCCCAAAAUCAGAGAACAAAUAAAGCCUUAAUUUUAAAUCCCAAAUCAGAACAAAACCCCAAGUAGAAACCUCAAUCACGAGCCUAGUUGUCGUGAAAACGUCUGAGAACGGAGACCAUCACACCGUAAAACGCUAGCCUGCUCUUUUCCUCCAUGACGACUACCUCAAAUAGGGAUUCUCGCACCGUGAAUACAUCGGAGUUCGAGUACUCACGAGAUGAACCAGAAGAAAGAAGAAAAGAGUCUUCCUUAAUUGAGAAACUCACACACGACAAAUGAAAGGGAAAAUGGCACCCCAAGCAGGUCUAUUCGUGAGAAAGGCAACAUCAUGACGAAAAUUUUCUAAUUG
Molecule: long non-coding RNA, 387 nt
Filed under: Vigna radiata
Lineage: Eukaryota; Viridiplantae; Streptophyta; Magnoliopsida; Fabales; Fabaceae
Description: long non-coding RNA (VRAD_LNC012166)
Source: RNAcentral